CCCUGGCCCCCGGAUCCUUGCCUUCCUGCACCCGCCUUCCCUGAGCGAGGCUGCCCUGGCCGCUGACCCCCGCCGUUUCUGCAGCCCUGACCUCCGUCGCCUCCUGGGACCCAUCCUGGAUGGGGCUUCAGUAGCGGCCACUCCCAGCACCCCGCUGGCCACACGGCGCCCCCAAAGUCCUCUUUCGGCUGAUCUCCCAGAUGAACUACCUGUGGGCACCGAGAAUGUGCACAGACUCUUCACCUCCGGGAAAGACACUGAGGCAGUGGAGACAGAUUUAGAUAUAGCUCAGAUGAGGAAACUGAAGCUCAGACUGUUGACCACAGGCACAGAACUCAGAAGUGAUGGUGCUGGGACUUCAGCCAAGGUCCACCCAAGUCCAAGGCUCAUCCUCUUACCUCCCUCCUGCCCUCCGCAGGAUGCCGAUGCUCUGGAUUUGGAGAUGCUGGCCCCCUACAUCUCCAUGGAUGAUGACUUCCAGCUCAACGCCAGCGAGCAGCUACCCAGGGCCUACCACAGACCUCUGGGGGCUGUCCCCCGGCCCCGUGCUCGGAGCUUCCAUGGCCUGUCACCUCCAGCCCUUGAGCCCUCCCUGCUGCCCCGCUGGGGGAGUGACCCCCGGCUGAGCUGCUCCAGCCCUUCCAGAGGGGACCCCUCAGCAUCCUCUCCCGUGGCUGGGGCUCGGAAGAGGACCCUGGCCCAGAGCUCAGAGGACGAGGACGAGGGAGUGGAGCUGCUGGGAGUGAGACCUCCCAAAAGGUCCCCCAGCCCAGAACACGAAAACUUUCUGCUGUUUCCCCUCAGCCUGGUGUGUUGGGGGAUUAAUGGGAUUCUCUGGCCCUCAUUACCUAGCUGGCUUAAACCUACUGUUUUAUAGAUAGGAAACCAGAGAGGGGCAGGGGCUGGUUGAGGGUCAUACAGAAAGUCAGUGGGCCAGCUGAGACUAAAGCCUGAUCUUCUAGUUUCACUAAUGGGUAUUAAAAACCUCUGCAGUGAACUGAGAUUGCGCCACUGCACCCCAGCAUGAGCGA
RNAcentral lists this small RNA (1031 nucleotides) under Pan troglodytes (chimpanzee). Its description in RNAcentral is "retained intron". The record is from RNAcentral. Lineage: Eukaryota; Metazoa; Chordata; Mammalia; Primates; Hominidae.